RNAcentral lists this ribosomal RNA (404 nucleotides) under uncultured bacterium. Its description in RNAcentral is "bacterial SSU rRNA". It matches the Rfam family "Bacterial small subunit ribosomal RNA", at positions 355 to 775 of the family's 1533-position model. The record is from RNAcentral.
UAGGGAAUUUUGGACAAUGGGCGAAAGCCUGAUCCAGCAACGCCGCGUGCGCGAUGAAGGCCUUCGGGUUGUAAAGCGCUUUUAGAGGAGAUGAGAAAGGACAGUAUCCUCUGAAUAAGCCUCGGCGAACUACGUGCCAGCAGCCGCGGUAAAACGUAGGAGGCUAGCGUUAUCCGGAUUUAUUGGGCGUAAAGCGUGUGCAGGCGGUUAUGCAAGUUGGAUGUGAAAGCUCCUGGCUUAACUGGGAGAGGUCGUUCAAAACUGCAUGACUAGAGAAUGGGAGAGGGAGGUGGAAUUCCGGGUGUAGUGGUGAAAUGCGUAGAUAUCCGGAGGAACACCAGUGGCGAAAGCGGCCUCCUGGACCAUUUCUGACGCUCAGACACGAAAGCUAGGGUAGCAAACGG